This is a long non-coding RNA of Ornithodoros turicata, 706 nucleotides long. RefSeq lists it as uncharacterized. The transcript has 3 exons. Lineage: Eukaryota; Metazoa; Arthropoda; Arachnida; Ixodida; Argasidae. The record is from RefSeq and is a predicted model, not a curated record.
UAUAGAUCGAGGAAUGGGGUUUGUACACGUCACAACGCCUAGCAACGUCGUGAUCUUCAAGAGUCUUGAGCCUGGGUAAUUUUUACGACGUAGAAGACAGCCAAUUGGAGAGUCUUCCUGCGUUACCUAUAUAAAGCGACAGAAGUCUGCCGUAACUGGAGAGUGACUACCCCAUCUCAUCGAGCAUCAUGCUGAAGGAAGCAGCGAUCGUGAUUUGUAUGACCGUCCUUGCGAGUGUGACCGCUGGAUACCCCGGAAAACCUUGGCAUGGCGGCUACCCGCGCCCAGGUGAGCCGGACGUACCAAAGAGUCCCGAAGGAUCAUACGAAGACUUCCGGUACCCAUCUGGACCGAGAGCUCCCAAGCGACCCAGAGCACCACCCGUCGGUGGCCCUCGGUUCCCAGGCCAAGAACCAAGAGCACCGACGCAGCCUGGGGGAUAUGACCGUGGCAUUCCAUACCCACGGGAACCCAGAAGCCCAUAUCCGUAUCCACGUGAACCCAGAGUACCCAGAGUACCCGGAGGGCCAUUCGGUGACCCGACCCGGGGUCAUGGUUGGUGGGGCUGCACGGCUAUUCCUGGGAAUCCACACGGUCCUUGCGACGCAUUUUGCAGAAGCGCCUUUCAACUACGCGGAUACUGCAACUUGCGUACGCACAUGUGCGAGUGUUUGAGAAAUUAAUAAAUACCUGGGCUACGCUGGUA